This 1372-nucleotide ribosomal RNA is filed under the name uncultured bacterium. RNAcentral describes it as "bacterial SSU rRNA". It matches the Rfam family "Bacterial small subunit ribosomal RNA", at positions 28 to 1381 of the family's 1533-position model. The record is from RNAcentral.
GAUGAACGCUGGCGGCGUGCCUAAUACAUGCAAGUCGAGCGAACGGACGAGAAGCUUGCUUCUCUGAUGUUAGCGGCGGACGGGUGAGUAACACGUGGAUAACCUACCUAUAAGACUGGGAUAACUUCGGGAAACCGGAGCUAAUACCGGAUGAUAUUUUGAACCGCAUGGUUCAAAAGUGAAAGACGGUCUUGCUGUCACUUAUAGAUGGAUCCGCGCUGCAUUAGCUAGUUGGUAAGGUAACGGCUUACCAAGGCAACGAUGCAUAGCCGACCUGAGAGGGUGAUCGGCCACACUGGAACUGAGACACGGUCCAGACUCCUACGGGAGGCAGCAGUAGGGAAUCUUCCGCAAUGGGCGAAAGCCUGACGGAGCAACGCCGCGUGAGUGAUGAAGGUCUUCGGAUCGUAAAACUCUGUUAUUAGGGAAGAACAUAUGUGUAAGUAACUGUGCACAUCUUGACGGUACCUAAUCAGAAAGCCACGGCUAACUACGUGCCAGCAGCCGCGGUAAUACGUAGGUGGCAAGCGUUAUCCGGAAUUAUUGAGCGUAAAGCGCGCGUAGGCGGUUUUUUAAGUCUGAUGUGAAAGCCCACGGCUCAACCGUGGAGGGUCAUUGGAAACUGGAAAACUUGAGUGCAGAAGAGGAAAGUGGAAUUCCAUGUGUAGCGGUGAAAUGCGCAGAGAUAUGGAGGAACACCAGUGGCGAAGGCGACUUUCUGGUCUGUAACUGACGCUGAUGUGCGAAAGCGUGGGGAUCAAACAGGAUUAGAUACCCUGGUAGUCCACGCCGUAAACGAUGAGUGCUAAGUGUUAGGGGGUUUCCGCCCCUUAGUGCUGCAGCUAACGCAUUAAGCACUCCGCCUGAGGAGUACGACCGCAAGGUUGAAACUCAAAGGAAUUGACGGGGACCCGCACAAGCGGUGGAGCAUGUGGUUUAAUUCGAAGCAACGCGAAGAACCUUACCAAAUCUUGACAUCCUUUGACAACUCUAGAGAUAGAGCCUUCCCCUUCGGGGGACAAAGUGACAGGUGGUGCAUGGUUGUCGUCAGCUCGUGUCGUGAGAUGUUGGGUUAAGUCCCGCAACGAGCGCAACCCUUAAGCUUAGUUGCCAUCAUUAAGUUGGGCACUCUAAGUUGACUGCCGGUGACAAACCGGAGGAAGGUGGGGAUGACGUCAAAUCAUCAUGCCCCUUAUGAUUUGGGCUACACACGUGCUACAAUGGACAAUACAAAGGGCAGCGAAACCGCGAGGUCAAGCAAAUCCCAUAAAGUUGUUCUCAGUUCGGAUUGUAGUCUGCAACUCGACUACAUGAAGCUGGAAUCGCUAGUAAUCGUAGAUCAGCAUGCUACGGUGAAUACGUUCCCGGGUCU